This 474-nucleotide ribosomal RNA is filed under the name Hiatula diphos (diphos sanguin). Its description in RNAcentral is "Soletellina diphos (diphos sanguin) partial 16S ribosomal RNA". It matches the Rfam family "Bacterial large subunit ribosomal RNA", at positions 1817 to 2597 of the family's 2925-position model. Lineage: Eukaryota; Metazoa; Mollusca; Bivalvia; Cardiida; Psammobiidae. The record is from RNAcentral.
GGCUUCUUGAGUUGUGAUUAAAAGAGGUCAGGCCUGCCCGGUGGAGAGGUUCUAAACGGUCGCAGCUUUUACUGUGCUAAGGUAGCGUAAUAGGUCGUCCUUUAAUUGGGGAAAAGUAUGAAUGGUCAGAUGGUGGAAAUACUUUAUUAGAAGCAUAAAUUUGAAAUUUACUUUCAGUGUGCAAAGGCCUGAAUAUAUAUAUCAGACGAGAAGACCCUGUUGAGCUUAAUAAGGUGUAGUCGUCUGGGCUACGCUGUACGUUUGUUCGGGGCCGAGAGGAAGGGAAGACUAUUCCUUCUUAGUUAGUGAGGAUCCAGCAUGGCUGAAAAGAGGAAGAUAGUUACCACAGGGAUAACAGCGCAAUUUUUCUGUCAAGAUCUUAUUUGAGGAGGAGUUUGCGACCUCGAUGUUGAAUCAGGAUUUCUACUAGGUGUAGCAGCUUAGUAAGUGGGACUGUUCGUCCUUUGAAAUUUU